GUGAUCCGAACAGAAGUGGCGAAAGAAGGCACCCCUGCCUUGUUCUUGUUCUUAGAGGAAAAUCUUUGUCUUUCACUAAUGAGUAAAAUGUUUGCUGUGGGUUUUUACAUAUGGCUUUUUCACAUUGACGUAGUUUCCUUCUGUUCCUAGUUUGUGUUCUUUUUUUUUUUUGACAGGGUCUUGCUCUGUCACGCAGGCUGGAGUGCAGUGGCAUAAUCACAGCUCACUACUGCCUUGACCUCCCUGGCUCAAGCAAUCCUCCCACUUCAGCCUCCCGAGUAGCUGGGACCACAGGUACGCACAACCACGCCUGGCUAAUUAAAAAAAAUUUUUUUGGUAGAGACAGGGUCUUGCCACAUUCCCCAGGCUGGUCUCAAACUCCUGGGCUCAAGUAAUCUAGUUGUAAAAAGUUUAAAGCCAGUUUUUAAAAAGCCCAACUUUCAUCAUUGGCAGGAUGUGCGUUCUGAUAAAAUUACUCUUACAGCUAGAAACAGAAGAACCUUUCCUUGCAUUUCUAAUUGUUUUGUUCCACUGCUGUAUUUAUAGUUUGAUGAAGAGCAUCUUACCCCUGCACAGUGCUUUUAAACUCUGCUUUGCCUGAUAUGAAUACUCUUAUUUUCUGCUGGUACCCUAUUUUUCUAUCCACUUAUUUUCAGCCUGUCACUUUUAUGAUUAUCAACAGCAUAUUCCUGGUUCUAGUUUCAACCCCAAUCUGACCACCUGUCUUCUAAAGAGAAAAAACAGAUUUAGUGUAACAACAUAUUUCUUAGUUUGUUUAGGAAAGACGGGGUUUAGGGAAACUUCCUCCUACUCCUGACACCAAAGUUCAGAAACAAGUGAGAAUUAGGACUUGAAAGACAAAUGGGUGGGGGGAACUUCUUAGUUUGGCUUUUGAAUUUUUAUUACUUUUUCAUAGAGAUGAGGUCUCACUGUGUUGCCCCGGCUGGUCUCGAACUCCUGGGCUCAAGCAAUCUGCCCGUCUUGGCCUCCCAAAGCACUGGGAUUACAGGCGUGAGCCACCCUGCCCAGCCUAGAAAGCAUUUUUGACUGAACCAAAAGUGCAAAUCCUCACCAAAAUCUCUCAGUGAAGUCACUAAGCUCCCAUUAGAGUGGAGUGUGGAGAGGCCAAGGGCACUCGUCUAGUGCCAAGAUCCCACAGAGAAACAUGAGGCCAGGGCACGAGCACCUCCUCCCAACAGGACCCCGUGACUGGGCCUUUGAACCAUUAGAUGCAGCCCUGGAGCCGCGGUCAGAGCGUGCCCAUCCCGGAGAAGGGAAGCAGCAGCCGGCACGGCCUGUUCUCCCAUCUUCACACCACUCCCUCCAUACAAACCACUGCUUCCCGCCACCUCCUGUGACAAUGCCUGGUGAGGUGGUCAUGCCCCCUUCAGCCCUCCUGAAGUGCCCUCUGGGAAAUAAGGCACGACAGACAAAUGGAUUCAACAUCCUUUUUCUUUUUAAAACUAAACCUUGCUUGAUGGGCAUGGUUUGGAUGAGUUCUCUGACUUCAUCCCUGGAUUAGACUAAUGUCCCCCUCCAGUCACGGGCAGAGGCCUCCAUGAGAUGUGUCUAACCCAGGGAUGCAGACUUCUCCCUUUGGCAGGACAGAAAGUCUACUGUGUGGAAGAGGACGAUCCGGAACGUGUCCUCUCCAUGGGCGGGCAAAUCCAGGCUGGAGCCCAGAGCGUGCCCUGCUCCUCGGUCUCUCCUCCUUGGUAGGAUAGGAAAGGCAGUUCCGGGGCCACGGUGCGUGCCAUGGGGGGUGUUCUCCCUCACAAUGCUUUUUAUGCUGCACUUUUAUCUUCUCCUUUUCCUUAGGUCUUCUAAAAGAUUAAGGUGCAAAUCACAUACAAUCAAAUGCAUCGGUCUUAAGUGUCGGUUUUGAUGAGUUUGGACACGUGUAUACGUUCACAUAACCACCAUCACCAACAAGCUGCAGAAGACUUCCCUCAUCCCAGAAGGUGUCCCUGUGCUCUUUCCAGCCAAUCCUUCCCUCUUCCCUGCCAGGAGAAAACACUAUUCGAAUUUCUCCCAUCAAUUAGUUUGGUCAGUUUCAGAGCUUCAUAUAGAUGCUUACAUAUCUUACUUCUUUCGCUUAACACAUUUAUUUAUGAGACAGGUUCUCACUCUUGUCACCCAGGCUGGAGUGCAGUGGCACGAUCUCAGCUCACGGCAACCUCCGCCUCCCGGAUUCACGCGAUUCUCAUGCCUCAUCCUCCUGAGUAGCUGGGAUUACAGGCGUGCACCACCACACUGGGCUAAUUUUUGUUAAAAUUUUAGUAGGGACGGGUUUUCGCCAUGUUGACCAGGCUAGUCUUGAACUCCUGGCCUCAGGUGAUCCACCUGCCUUGACUUCCCAAAGUGCUGGGAUUGCAGGCUUGAGCCACCGUGUCCAGCCUUUAAUGUUUUUGAGAUGUAUACACAUGGCUGCAUUCAUCACGGUUCACCCCCGUUGGCUACUAAGUAGAAGUCUAUCGUAUGACUACACCAGAAUCUGCUUAUCCAUCCUCCUGUUGUUAGACAUAUUACGAAUAAAGUGACAAUAAACAUCCUUGUACAAAUCACCUGUGGACAUGUAUUUGCACUGAGUAUCUAGGAGAGUCUGCAGGAGUAUGUUUAAUUUUUUAAAACCUCCAAACCAAAAAAUGAAUUUGCCCACUAGUUUCCUAAACUGGAAGUAUUAUUUUAGACAGUAAUAGGUGAGUUCUAGCAGCUUCACAUUCUCAUUACUAUUUGGUGAUGUCUUUUUCAUUUGAACACUAAUAGAUGGAAAAUGGGACCUUUUUGUGACUCUAACUUGCCCUCCUUAGGGAGUAAUGAUGUUGAACAACUUUUCAUGUUCUUAUUGGCCACUCAUGUAUACACAGGUCCCUGACUUAAGACGGUUUGAUUUCAGGUUUUUGGACUUUACGAUGGUGUGGAAGCAUUAAGCUCUCAGCAGAAGCCACACUCUGAAUUCCGAUCUUUCCCUGGGCUGGUGGUGGAUGCGCAGCACAGUGCCCUCCUGCAGUACUGAGCGGCGGCAGGGAGCAGCAGUCCCAGCCAGCUGUGCCAUCGCGAGGGGAGGCGGCCGGCAUGGAUCUUUUCUCCCCUAUAUCUGAGGUCUGAGUCCUUUGUGAGAACACACAGUGUGGUUUCUUGCCUGGCAUCCCAUUCCUUGCUUCUCCAUUUUCAAGAGCAGAACAUUUUCACUUUGAUGGAAGCCCAAUGUUUCUUCUAUGGUAUGUGCUCUGCAUCCAAAGCAGCCUUCGCCCAUCCCACAUUUUAGAUAAUUUUUUCUUCUAAAAACUUCAUUGUUUAAGCGCUCAUGUUUGGAUCUGCAAUCUAUUUUGGAUGAAUUCUUGUGUAUAACGUGCAGUAGGAAUAAAGGCUCAUGUCUUUCCAUACGGAUAGCAGUUUUAUUCACAGACACAGGUGGUGGCCAGACCUGGCACACGGAUGCAGCUGACCCUGGAAGCUGAAGGACAAUGAAACCCAUCUGAUUAAGAUGCUCAACUUUUCUGAAGAAAAAGCUGACACCAAGACCUGCCUAAGGUCACACCAUCAUGAGUGGCUGAGUUGGGCUGUGAUGAGCCACCUGGCUGGAGAGCUCGUGCCCUGGUUACACGACUGCCAGUGAGAU
Pongo pygmaeus (Bornean orangutan) is the source of this 3622-nucleotide long non-coding RNA. RefSeq lists it as uncharacterized. The transcript has 3 exons. NCBI's taxonomy places the organism in Eukaryota, Metazoa, Chordata, Mammalia, Primates, Hominidae. The record is from RefSeq and is a predicted model, not a curated record.